AGUGAACGCUGGCGGUAGGCCUAACACAUGCAAGUCGAACGGCAGCACAGUAAGAGCUUGCUCUUACGGGUGGCGAGUGGCGGACGGGUGAGGAAUACAUCGGAAUCUACUUUUUCGUGGGGGAUAACGUAGGGAAACUUACGCUAAUACCGCAUACGACCUACGGGUGAAAGCAUGGGAUCUUCGGACCUUGCGCGAUUGAAUGAGCCGAUGUCGGAUUAGCUAGUUGGCGGGGUAAAGGCCCACCAAGGCGACGAUCCGUAGCUGGUCUGAGAGGAUGAUCAGCCACACUGGAACUGAGACACGGUCCAGACUCCUACGGGAGGCAGCAGUGGGGAAUAUUGGACAAUGGGCGCAAGCCUGAUCCAGCCAUACCGCGUGGGUGAAGAAGGCCUUCGGGUUGUAAAGCCCUUUUGUUGGGAAAGAAAAGCAGCAGGUUAAUACCCCGCUGUUCUGACGGUACCCAAAGAAUAAGCGCCGGCUAACUUCGG
RNAcentral lists this ribosomal RNA (491 nucleotides) under uncultured bacterium. Its description in RNAcentral is "partial 16S ribosomal RNA". It matches the Rfam family "Bacterial small subunit ribosomal RNA", at positions 29 to 506 of the family's 1533-position model. The record is from RNAcentral.